This 497-nucleotide ribosomal RNA is filed under the name uncultured bacterium. RNAcentral describes it as "partial 16S ribosomal RNA". It matches the Rfam family "Bacterial small subunit ribosomal RNA", at positions 28 to 507 of the family's 1533-position model. The record is from RNAcentral.
GAUGAACGCUGGCGGCGUGCCUAAUACAUGCAAGUCGAGCGAACAGACGAGGAGCUUGCUCCUCUGACGUUAGCGGCGGACGGGUGAGUAACACGUGGAUAACCUACCUACAAGACUGGGAUAACUUCGGGAAACCGGAGCUAAUACCGGAUAAUAUAUUGAACCGCAUGGUUCAAUAGUGAAAGACGGUUUUGCUGUCACUUAUAGAUGGUUCCGCGCCGCAUUAGCUAGUUGGUAAGGUAACGGCUUACCAAGGCAACGAUGCGUAGCCGACCUGAGAGGGUGAUCGGCCACACUGGAACUGAGACACGGUCCAGACUCCUACGGGAGGCAGCAGUAGGGAAUCUUCCGCAAUGGGCGAAAGCCUGACGGAGCAACGCCGCGUGAGUGAUGAAGGUCUUCGGAUCGUAAAACUCUGUUAUUAGGGAAGAACAACUGUGUAAGUAACUAUGCACGUCUUGACGGUACCUAAUCAGAAAGCCACGGCUAACUACGUG